This is a small nucleolar RNA of Cercocebus atys (sooty mangabey), 71 nucleotides long. NCBI's taxonomy places the organism in Eukaryota, Metazoa, Chordata, Mammalia, Primates, Cercopithecidae. The record is from Ensembl.
CCACAGUGACAGCAGUAUUUUUCAUCCACAGUAGUUCACCUUAUGAAUGUUGACACUUUGGGUCUGAGUGA